This 1372-nucleotide ribosomal RNA is filed under the name uncultured bacterium. RNAcentral describes it as "bacterial SSU rRNA". It matches the Rfam family "Bacterial small subunit ribosomal RNA", at positions 28 to 1381 of the family's 1533-position model. The record is from RNAcentral.
GAUGAACGCUGGCGGCGUGCCUAAUACAUGCAAGUCGAGCGAACGGACGAGAAGCUUGCUUCUCUGAUGUUAGCGGCGGACGGGUGAGUAACACGUGGAUAACCUACCUAUAAGACUGGGAUAACUUCGGGAAACCGGAGCUAAUACCGGAUAAUAUUUUGAACCGCAUGGUUCAAAAGUGAAAGACGGUCUUGCUGUCACUUAUAGAUGGAUCCGCGCUGCAUUAGCUAGUUGGUAAGGUAACGGCUUACCAAGGCAACGAUGCAUAGCCGACCUGAGAGGGUGAUCGGCCACACUGGAACUGAGACACGGUCCAGACUCCUACGGGAGGCAGCAGUAGGGAAUCUUCCGCAAUGGGCGAAAGCCUGACGGAGCAACGCCGCGUGAGUGAUGAAGGUCUUCGGAUCGUAAAACUCUGUUAUUAGGGAAGAACAUAUGUGUAAGUAACUGUGCACAUCUUGACGGUACCUAAUCAGAAAGCCACGGCUAACUACGUGCCAGCAGCCGCGGUAAUACGUAGGUGGCAAGCGUUAUCCGGAAUUAUUGGGCGUAAAGCGCGCGUAGGCGGUUUUUUAAGUCUGAUGUGAAAACCCACGGCUCAACCGUGGAGGGUCAUUGGAAACUGGAAAACUUGAGUGCAGAAGAGGAAAGUGGAAUUCCAUGUGUAGCGGUGAAAUGCGCAGAGAUAUGGAGGAACACCAGUGGCGAAGGCGACUUUCUGGUCUGUAACUGACGCUGAUGUGCGAAAGCGUGGGGAUCAAACAGGAUUAGAUACCCUGGUAGUCCACGCCGUAAACGAUGAGUGCUAAGUGUUAGGGGGUUUCCGCCCCUUAGUGCUGCAGCUAACGCAUUAAGCACUCCGCCUGGGGAGUACGACCGCAAGGUUGAAACUCAAAGGAAUUGACGGGGACCCGCACAAGCGGUGGAGCAUGUGGUUUAAUUCGAAGCAACGCGAAGAACCUUACCAAAUCUUGACAUCCUUUGACAACUCUAGAGAUAGAGCUUUCCCCUUCGGGGGACAAAGUGACAGGUGGUGCAUGGUUGUCGUCAGCUCGUGUCGUGAGAUGUUGGGUUAAGUCCCGCAACGAGCGCAACCCUUAAGCUUAGUUGCCAUCAUUAAGUUGGGCACUCUAAGUUGACUGCCGGUGACAAACCGGAGGAAGGUGGGGAUGACGUCAAAUCAUCAUGCCCCUUAUGAUUUGGGCUACACACGUGCUACAAUGGACAAUACAAAGGGCAGCGAAACCGUGAGGUCAAGCAAAUCCCAUAAAGUUGUUCUCAGUUCGGAUUGUAGUCUGCAACUCGACUACAUGAAGCUGGAAUCGCUAGUAAUCGUAGAUCAGCAUGCUACGGUGAAUACGUUCCCGGGUCU